Long non-coding RNA from Oryza sativa Japonica Group (Japanese rice), 1402 nucleotides. RefSeq lists it as uncharacterized. The record is from RefSeq and is a predicted model, not a curated record. Lineage: Eukaryota; Viridiplantae; Streptophyta; Magnoliopsida; Poales; Poaceae.
CCGUUCUCUCCCCCUUUCCUCCUUCCCCACCGUCGCUGCCGUCCUCCCCGGCACUCCCAAUCCCUUUCUCCUCCAUGCCGCACCGCCUCCCCAUCGUCGCAGCCGCCCCGUCGCCCCUGCUCGCCUGCAUCCACCACACCGCCUCCCUCCCCAGUCGAGACGGCGUCGCCUCCUCGCCCCCUUCGCAGCCAGAUUGACACCGCGCCGUUCAAUCCACCGCCUCAAGCACCAUGCAUCGUCGUCGUUGCAGGCGUCAGCACGGGCGCGGGCGCUGCCGAUCCCGAGUCGAGACGACGUCGUCCGCUGCUGCUUCUCCACCACUGACGGUUGCCCUGCGUAUAUCCUCCCUAUUAUCGCGGUCCCCACCUGCUCCUGAAUCCUGAUCCACAAAAACAGCGGAGCGCCGUCGGCCUCUCUGCCUCCCUGCGACCACCAGUGGCAUCUGCCCCGCCGUCGGCUCUCCCUCACCCGCGACUCGCCGACGAUGGUGCUCCACAAACCAUUCAGGCCGUCACUGGUCUCCGGAGCGCCCGAGGCCGACGUGUCUCGCACUCCCUAUAAUCUUGCUUUGCUGUAGCAGUAACAACAUCAUAACAUAUCGUGGUUCAUACAAUGGAUCAGGCUGGUAAUUCGAUUCCAAUUCUUGCUCCUGAACUUUUUUAUUGGUGAUAAUGUUCAGCAGAUUGGUUUGGUGGUGGCAGUGCGGCACCACUGAUUUGUGUUAGACAUUGGUCCUUAUCCAACCCUCUAAUCUCUUGAUUAUGCUCACUUACGAUGACUUCAGCUCAGGUGGUUGAAAGAAACACUCCUAGACUGCUAUUUAUUUUUACGUUACAGGGAUUUGGCUACAGAUAGUUGCAAGCUGCAAUGUUCUGAUAUUUGUUAUGUUUUAGAGCAAAAUCUGCCUUAUAUAUAAUGUUAUAAUUAGGCUUCGAAUUUCUUGCUUAUGUUCUUUAAAAAUUCCAAGUAACCUUUUCAGUUCUUUAUGUCAGGUUAAUUGACAGAUCGAGUUGCACUUACACAUAUCUUGUUUUAGGAAAUGCUCCAAUGGCCCUUGAAUCCAGCAAAAUUGGUAGUUCCUCUCGUCCUCCAGGCACCAGCUAUGGACAAUAUCUAUACCUCAAGGAAGCCUCUUCAUGUUCCCCUCAAUAUUUCUUUCUGGGUGCAUGCACUCUAUGCUUGCUAUGCAAAACCCAAUGUAUGUGAAUGUGAUCCUUAUGCUGCAAAGCUUAACCAUCUCAAUAAAGCUGAUGAAGACAAGGUGCUCGAUAUUCAGACGAUAUUGGUCAAGUAUAACAUAUUUCAUAUUGACCAGUGAGAAGCAUCCGAAAGAAGUAAACGAAUGAGCAUUGAGUUCCAGAAAAUGGUGUAUAGUAUAGAUGGAAUUAUGAAAAGCAUCUCU